RNAcentral lists this ribosomal RNA (274 nucleotides) under uncultured bacterium. Its description in RNAcentral is "partial 16S ribosomal RNA". It matches the Rfam family "Bacterial small subunit ribosomal RNA", at positions 523 to 796 of the family's 1533-position model. The record is from RNAcentral.
AUACGGAGGGUGCAAGCGUUAUCCGGAUUUAUUGGGUUUAAAGGGUGCGCAGGCGGAUAAUUAAGUCAGUGGUGAAAUCCUCCCGCUCAACGGGAGAACUGCCAUUGAUACUGAUAAUCUGGAAUACGGUUGAAGUGGGCGGAAUGUAGCAUGUAGCGGUGAAAGGAAUAGAGAUGCUACAGAACGCCGAUCGCGAAGGCAGCUCACUAAGCCGAUAUUGACGCUCAGGCACGAAAGCGUGGGUAGCGAACAGGAUUAGAUACCCCUGUAGUCC